Molecule: ribosomal RNA, 460 nt
Filed under: uncultured bacterium
Lineage: Bacteria
Description: partial 16S ribosomal RNA
Rfam family: Bacterial small subunit ribosomal RNA
Source: RNAcentral
CCUACGGGAGGCAGCAGUGAGGAAUAUUGGUCAAUGGACGAGAGUCUGAACCAGCCAAGUAGCGUGAAGGAUGACUGCCCUAUGGGUUGUAAACUUCUUUUAUAGGGGAAUAAAAUGUGCCACGUGUGGGGUUUUGUAUGUACCAUAUGAAUAAGGACCGGCUAACUCCGUGCCAGCAGCCGCGGUAAUACGGAGGAUCCGAGCGUUAUCCGGAUUUAUUGGGUUUAAAGGGAGCGUAGGUGGCUUGUUAAGCCAGUUGUGAAAGGCUGCGGCUCAACCGUGAAAUUGCAGUGGAAACUGGCUGUCUUGAGUGCAGUAGAGGUAGGCGGAAUUCGUGGUGUAGCGGUGAAAUGCUUAGAUAUCACGAAGAACUCCGAUUGCGAAGGCAGUUCACUGGACUGCAACUGACGCUGAGGCUCGAAAGUGUGGGUAUCAAACAGGAUUAGAUACCCUAGUAGUC